This 508-nucleotide ribosomal RNA is filed under the name uncultured bacterium. Its description in RNAcentral is "partial 16S ribosomal RNA". It matches the Rfam family "Bacterial small subunit ribosomal RNA", at positions 28 to 507 of the family's 1533-position model. The record is from RNAcentral.
GACGAACGCUGGCGGCGUGCCUAAUACAUGCAAGUCGAACGCUUCUUUCCUCCCGAGUGCUUGCACUCAAUUGGAAAGAGGAGUGGCGGACGGGUGAGUAACACGUGGGUAACCUACCCAUCAGAGGGGGAUAACACUUGGAAACAGGUGCUAAUACCGCAUAACAGUUUAUGCCGCAUGGCAUAAGAGUGAAAGGCGCUUUCGGGUGUCGCUGAUGGAUGGACCCGCGGUGCAUUAGCUAGUUGGUGAGGUAACGGCUCACCAAGGCCACGAUGCAUAGCCGAACUGAGAGGGUGAUCGGCCACACUGGGACUGGGACACGGCCCAGACUCCUACGGGAGGCAGCAGUAGGGAAUCUUCGGCAAUGGACGAAAGUCUGACCGAGCAACGCCGCGUGAGUGAAGAAGGUUUUCGGAUCGUAAAACUCUGUUGUUAGAGAAGAACAAGGACGUUAGUAACUGAACGUCCCCUGACGGUAUCUAACCAGAAAGCCACGGCUAACUACGUG